AGACCGUUGAGCAAACUGCUUUUAGAUCCUGAAACUGAAAUUAGGAUUUUGCUCAAGCCAUCUCUCCAACUUUUGAAUGAGGCAAAAGGAGUGAAAAGUGCAUGGAGCAGGGGGAGGAAGGUGACCACAACCCUUUCUGAAGAGAGAAGCGCUACUCUGUCUUGUCUCUGCAUGACCAUGUCUGCCCAAUGACACCGUGGUGAAACAAUUGUGUACUUGUGUACUUCAUUUUGGACCAAGACCUUCUGGAUUUGUACAACCAGACAUCUUUGCAAGAUCUCCUUCCUCUUCCUUUGCCAUACCUAGCUAACCUCUAUCUUCUGGAAAAAGAAAUAAGCAGCAGGAUUGGUCUCAAGAGAAGUAUGUUCUCACUGUUUAGACGAGUUUGAGUCACACCACUCUUCAGUUUUGGAAAACAUCUUACAUUAGCAUCUUGCCUAGGAAGGUUCUCACCACAGCUAAGCCCAAGAACAUGAGCUUUGGCUCACUGGGUCUGUCCAGGAUAGGGAAGAGUUCAUUAAGAUUUCCGAGGAAAAAAAGGGGAGAUGAAAAAUGACUGAAUAAAUGACAAACAGAGCUAUGAAAUCAAGUUCCCAUGAUUUAAUAGAUCACCAUUCAUUCCUGGAGCU
Molecule: long non-coding RNA, 629 nt
Organism: Chiroxiphia lanceolata (lance-tailed manakin)
Lineage: Eukaryota; Metazoa; Chordata; Aves; Passeriformes; Pipridae
Exons: 4
Source: RefSeq, a predicted model, not a curated record